UACGUAGGGCGCAAGCGUUGUCCGGAAUUAUUGGGCGUAAAGAGCUCGUAGGCGGCUUGUCACGUCGGUUGUGAAAGCCCGGGGCUUAACCCCGGGUCUGCAGUCGAUACGGGCUAGCUAGAGUGUGAUAGGGGAGAUCGGAAUUCCUGGUGUAGCGGUGAAAUGCGCAGAUAUCAGGAGGAACACCGGUGGCGAAGGCGGAUCUCUGGGCCAUUACUGACGCUGAGGAGCGAAAGCGUGGGGAGCGAACAGG
Molecule: ribosomal RNA, 253 nt
Filed under: uncultured bacterium
Lineage: Bacteria
Description: partial 16S ribosomal RNA
Rfam family: Bacterial small subunit ribosomal RNA
Source: RNAcentral